RNAcentral lists this ribosomal RNA (988 nucleotides) under uncultured Verrucomicrobiota bacterium. RNAcentral's name for it is "bacterial SSU rRNA". It matches the Rfam family "Bacterial small subunit ribosomal RNA", at positions 364 to 1336 of the family's 1533-position model. The record is from RNAcentral. Lineage: Bacteria; Pseudomonadati; Verrucomicrobiota.
UUUCACAAUGGGCGCAACCUGAUGGAGCGACGCCGCGUGGGGGAUGAAGGGCUUCGGCUCGUAAACCCCUGUCAGUUGCGAACAAGGUUCACUCAAUAACACUGGGUGGAUUGAUAGUAGUGACAGAGGAAGGGACGGCUAACUCUGUGCCAGCAGCCGCGGUAAUACAGAGGUCCCGAGCGUUGUUCGGAUUCACUGGGCGUAAAGGGUGCGUAGGCGGCUUUGCAAGUCUGAUGUGAAAUCUCCGGGCCCAACCCGGAAAUGGCAUUAGAAACUGUGAGGCUGGAGGCUUGGAGGGGGAACUGGAAUGCUCGGUGUAGCAGUGAAAUGCGUAGAGAUCGAGCGGAACACCAGUGGCGAAGGCGAGUUCCUGGACAAGACCUGACGCUGAGGCACGAAAGCCAGGGGAGCAAACAGGAUUAGAUACCCUGGUAGUCCUGGCUGUAAACGGUGCACGUUUGCUGUAAGAGGAAUCGACCCCUUUUGUGGCGGGAGUAACGCGAUAAACGUGCCGCCUGGGGAGUACGGUCGCAAGAUUAAAACUCAAAGAAAUUGACGGGGGCCUGCACAAGCGGUGGAGUAUGUGGCUCAAUUCGAUGCAACGCGAAGAACCUUACCUGGCCUUGACAUGCACGUGGUAGAAGCCCGAAAGGGUAACGACCCCGCAAGGGGAGCGUGCACAGGUGCUGCAUGGCUGUCGUCAGCUCGUGUCGUGAGAUGUUGGGUUAAGUCCCGCAACGAGCGCAACCCUUGCGUCCUGUUGCCACCCUCUCGAGAGAGAGGAGCACUCUGGACGGACUGCCUCGCUUCAACGGGGAGGAAGGUGGGGAUGACGUCAGGUCAGUAUGGCCCUUACGGCCAGGGCUGCACACGUACUACAAUGCCCGGCACAGAGGGAAGCCAAACCGGAAGGUGGAGCAAAUCUCCCAAAAACCGGGCCCAGUUCAGAUUGAGGUCUGCAACUCGACCUCAUGAAGCUGGAAUCGCU